Molecule: non-coding RNA, 22 nt
Filed under: Arabidopsis thaliana (thale cress)
Lineage: Eukaryota; Viridiplantae; Streptophyta; Magnoliopsida; Brassicales; Brassicaceae
Source: RNAcentral
UUGAGUUGCGGAUACCUCUUGU